GGAUGUAAGGGUAAUCUAGAUGUGACAUCUGUCAACCUAUUGUUUACUAGGGUUGAUUUAACUGAUCUGGCUGAAUAGGCAUGUGUCUCUUUCCUCUCACACUACUCCAUGUAUAUUCCUUCCAAAGCUGCUCAUUCUAAGAAGAUGACAUUCCCCAAAUAGAGUCUUUGGUCUAGGGUAUAUAAGCAGUUGUUCUCCCUUGCUAGAACCUCCAAACAAGCUUUCAAUUCCAACGUCUGUGAACUGACCUCACCCCUGAAUCCACAAUUACUUAUUAAAAACUAGAGAAACUUACACUGGAAAAUGGAAAGUAAUGUCUAAGU
Non-coding RNA from Erinaceus europaeus (western European hedgehog), 323 nucleotides. The record is from Rfam. Lineage: Eukaryota; Metazoa; Chordata; Mammalia; Eulipotyphla; Erinaceidae.